Molecule: ribosomal RNA, 463 nt
Filed under: uncultured bacterium
Lineage: Bacteria
Description: partial 16S ribosomal RNA
Rfam family: Bacterial small subunit ribosomal RNA
Source: RNAcentral
GACGAACGCUGGCGGCGUGCUUAACACAUGCAAGUCGAACGGAAAGGCCUUUUCGGAGGUACUCGAGUGGCGAACGGGUGAGUAACACGUGGGUGAUCUGCCCUGCACUCUGGGAUAAGCCUGGGAAACUGGGUCUAAUACCGGAUAGGACCGCACUUUAGUGUGUGUGGUGGAAAGUUUUUUCGGUGUAGGAUGAGCCCGCGGCCUAUCAGCUUGUUGGUGGGGUAAUGGCCUACCAAGGCGGCGACGGGUAGCCGGACUGAGAGGUUGGUCGGCCACAUUGGGACUGAGAGACGGCCCAGACUCCUACGGGGGGCAGAAGUGGGGAAUAUUGCACAAUGGGCGCAAGCCUGAUGCAGCGACGCCGCGUGGGGGAUGACGGCCUCCGGGUUGUAAACUCCUUUCGCCAGGGACGAAGCGUUUUGUGACGGUACCUGGAGAAGAAGCACCGGCUAACUACGUG